Peromyscus maniculatus bairdii (prairie deer mouse) is the source of this 1622-nucleotide long non-coding RNA. RefSeq lists it as uncharacterized. The record is from RefSeq and is a predicted model, not a curated record. Lineage: Eukaryota; Metazoa; Chordata; Mammalia; Rodentia; Cricetidae.
GCAAAGCUUUCACGAUUUGUUUAGGUGUUCCAGCUUUCUUUUCUGUUCUGGAAAAACAUCCAGCCGUCUCAAGAAAAUGUCUAACCCCACAGGAAUCAUGGGGUCCAGUGUCCCCUCCUUAAUCUGACAUGGGAAAUAAAUGGACCUCAUUACAUGACAAUAGAGACACCCAGGAAACAUCUCCCAAAGUGCAAAUCUACCAGGAGCCCACAGACAGCUGAAUGGAGAAAUGAAGUGCGAACUACGGGUUAACUCCAUCGGGAUACUAAUUCAGCUUGGAAGAAGGAGGGAGACUCUGAAGCACUCCCCUGGAUGAACUGCAGGGACAACAAGCUCUGUGAAAUAAGCCCUUCCAAAGAGUCUAUCCCUGCCCGUCCUCCGCUGGAUUCUGGGACUGUCAUUUCCUGGAGAUCCCACUGGCAAAGGAGUGGAAAUGAGUUACGGACACCAAUGAAUUCAGCAAAUGUUUGCUGAGGAUCUACUGUAUACGCAGCGCUGCCUUGGGGCUACAUCCUGUUUGGGAGGAUAAGAGGCAGACAACUGAGUGGACAAGAACAGAUUAGAUGAAGGAAGAGACAGGCAAUGUGACGGAGGCAGGCGGCACUGAACAAGGGUGGAACAAGCUGGAAGGUGAGAAGACACUGGACCAGGAAUCCCAGGCCCAUUCUGAGCACAGGUUCUCACUCUACAGCCAAGGCUAACCUGGAACUCACUGUAUAGCUUAAGUUGGCUUCAAACUUAUGUCCUGCCUCAGUCUCCUUAGUGCUGAGAUUACAGCCAGAGGCCUCUGGCCUCCUUUGUGUUCCCUGGAGACCACAGCCAUGGCACCAGAGCUGCAGUUAUCCUGAGUUUACCUCUGCUGAUCUGUACCCAGAUACUUGAAGGAAGACGGUGUACAGAGUGGCAAAUGGAAGGACACAGAAGGCCAGAUUGCAGAAAUGAACCCCAUGGACAAGGACACUGCUCUCCCGGAAAAGGGGUCUUGAUGGGAAAACAAAUUCACAAAUAAGAUACUCUCAAGUAUUGAUAAGAACUGGAAGCCGAGAAACAACACAAGACUGGGAAGGUAGACUGCUAUAAACUGGGCACCAGGGAAGGUAUAGCUGGAUGGUUGACACACCUGACCCUGGAAAAGGAAGGAGCCAGCUAAGCAAAGAUCUGAAGAGCCUGUGCAAAGCGUCAGCAAGUGCAAAGGUCCUGAAGCUGGAGUCCAAAUGCCUUCUGGAGCUUUUGACCAAUACGAUCUGAAUCACAGGGGUUAUUUCAUUAAGGAAACCACUUCCAGUCCUUUGUGAACCUCUCCACUGCCUCCAAAUCCUCCCCAUGCAAGCUAAUUCCUACUCACUAUGAAUUUUUUCUUUUACGAAAUUCUUCCUAAAACCUUAGGGAGUUCUAGUAGUCUGUGGUUUAUGAAAAAUCACCCUGUGAUUCAGUAACAAAAAUAAAGUGGGGGGGGGGUUGGGGAGACAGCACAGUUAGUAAAAGCAUCUGCAUGUAAGUAUGAGAAGCUAAGUUUGGGUCCCCAGCACUCACACUUAAAAAAUAAAUGGGAACACGAGUGCACACCUUUUUCUUAUGUUUUUCUUUUUUGUUUGUUUUGAGACAGGGUCUCACUAUGUAGC